RNAcentral lists this ribosomal RNA (252 nucleotides) under uncultured bacterium. Its description in RNAcentral is "partial 16S ribosomal RNA". It matches the Rfam family "Bacterial small subunit ribosomal RNA", at positions 524 to 776 of the family's 1533-position model. The record is from RNAcentral.
UACGGAGGAUCCGAGCGUUAUCGGAUUUAUUGGGUUUAAAGGGUGCGUAGGCGGCCCGUUAAGUCAGGGGUGAAAGACGGUAGCUCAACUAUCGCAGUGCCCUUGAUACUGGCGGGCUUGAAUGGGCUAGAGGUAGGCGGAAUGAGACAAGUAGCGGUGAAAUGCAUAUAUAUGGCUCAGAACACCGAUUGCGAAGGCAGCUUACUAUGGUUCUAUUGACGCUGAGGCCCGAAAGCGUGGGGAUCGAACAGG